RNAcentral lists this ribosomal RNA (594 nucleotides) under Triticum aestivum (bread wheat). Its description in RNAcentral is "partial small subunit ribosomal RNA". Lineage: Eukaryota; Viridiplantae; Streptophyta; Magnoliopsida; Poales; Poaceae. The record is from RNAcentral.
AUGUGGCCAAUCGAUGUACAAAGGAUUCUUUCAAUUCCCCAACCGCAACAUGAAAUGCAAGAUUUCAUUGCCUGGAAUUAUACAAAAAAUGGUAUUUUCUCGGUUCGAUCAGCCUAUUUUAUGGAGUGGGACCACUAGUAUGGAAGCAAAUUAAAACACUCUAAUGGGAUGGGGCGAACCACAGUUAACCCUAUUUGGAGCAAGAUAUGGAAGUUAGAAUGUCCGGCAAAAGUAAAAGAAUUCUUAUGGCGUAUGCUACAUGGUACAAUCCCAUGCCGGGUUACGCUAGCUAACAAACAUAAGAAGGUUUCACCCAUUUGCCCCACUUGUCCGGAGGGCUUAGAAGAUACCAAACAUAUGCUCUUCCGAUUUAGUAAAGCAAAGGAGGUCUGAAAAAGGCUGGGGAUGGAUGAUAUUAUUGAUAAAACUUGUGAAGUUGACCGUGCGGGAGAGGCAGUGUUGGAGUAUCUACUACUCCUACUAGACCAAGAUUUGUGGAUAUUGGGUCACAAUGUACGUGAAAUGAUUGCUAUAUCAGCAUGGUAUCUAUGGUGGGAAAGACGGAAGUUGGUACACAAUGAACUCAAAAUGUAA